GAAAUGCGAUAAGCAAUGCGAAUUGCAGAAUUCCGCGAGUCAUCAGAUUUUUGAACGCAGCCCGCGCUGGAGAGAUAUCUCUUCAGCAUGUUUGUUUCAGUGUGUUUGGUUGACAUCACACAACUCAAUGCGAUUGAACCCUCCUUUUUUAGUAAAGUGGGAUCUCUCGUGAAAAGCGAAGGCGUGGGACUCAGCCCGCCAACGAUGUGGAUCACUGUCUAACAGUGAAUUCGUUGGGUAACAUCGGUCUAGUCAUUUAACUAUACGUCUUAAAUAGUUAGUUAGUUAGUUAGUUACUUAAAAACAACAACAACAACAACAACAACAACCUUCAAUCUGCACCUGAAAUCAAGCAAGAACACCCGCUGAACUUAA
RNAcentral lists this unclassified non-coding RNA (375 nucleotides) under uncultured Ophiostomataceae. RNAcentral describes it as "sequence contains ITS1". The stretch from base 1 to 105 matches the Rfam family "5.8S ribosomal RNA", at positions 50 to 154 of the family's 154-position model. The record is from RNAcentral. Lineage: Eukaryota; Fungi; Ascomycota; Sordariomycetes; Ophiostomatales.